Molecule: ribosomal RNA, 468 nt
Filed under: uncultured bacterium
Lineage: Bacteria
Description: partial 16S ribosomal RNA
Rfam family: Bacterial small subunit ribosomal RNA
Source: RNAcentral
GACGAACGCUGGCGGCGUGCUUAACACAUGCAAGUCGAACGGAAAGGCCCUGCUUUUGUGGGGUGAUCGAGUGGCGAACGGGUGAGUAACACGUGAGUAACCUGCCCUAGACUUUGGGAUAACUUCAGGAAACUGGGGCUAAUACCGGAUAGGAGAUCCUGCUGCAUGGUGGGGGUUGGAAAGUUUCGGCGGUUGGGGAUGGACUCGCGGCUUAUCAGCUAGUUGGUGGGGUAGUGGCUUACCAAGGCUUUGACGGGUAGCCGGCCUGAGAGGGUGACCGGCGACAUGGGGACUGAGAGACGGACCAGAGUCCUACGGGAGGCAGCAGUGGGGAAUAUUGCACAAUGGGCGGAAGCCUGAUGCAGCAACGCCGCGUGCGGGAUGACGGCCUUCUGGUUGUAAACCGCUUUCGCCUGUGACGAAGCGUGAGUGACGGUAAUGGGUAAAGAAGCACCGGCUAACUACGUG